GAGGAGGAGGAGGUUGGUCUCCGAGUGUCCGCCGCCUCACCUCCGUCCACUCUGCGCGUCCAGGCCCAUGGCGAGUUGCUCCUCUGCGGCCAAACCAGACGGCGAUGUCAACCUGCGGCAGACAACACAAGGGGCGAGUAUUCCACGCGUGCCUACUGCUCCGAGCCCAGAUCCUCGAUUAUCCGCUCUAUCCUAUCACCCAGCUGGAGAUAACAGGAUUACUGCAGUAAACCUUCCCGGGCUGGCCUCCAUGUAAGCAAGGAGUCGGCUGGCAUCCCGUCAGGCCAUCCAGCUACAGAGUGACCCACGCACAGGAUCGAUCAUCAAACUUGCCAGACCAGGACUGGACGAAGUUACCUGACCCACUGAGUUAAUUUAGAUACGGUGUGGAAACAGGCCCUUCGGCCCACUGAGUCCGUGCCGACCAGCGAUCACCCCAUUCUAUCCAACGCACUUGGGACAAUCUUACAGAAGCCAAUUAACCUGCAUAUAUUUGGAAUGUGGGUGGAAGCUGGAGCACCUGGAGCAAACCCACAUGGUCCACCUAUGCACCAGUGUGCCCCCCAACACUGUUCCUCCAGCACUUUGCGUUUUGCUCCCUGUGUUUCCACAUUCUCCACUUUUAUUUCUCCUUAACAAGGUUCUAUUUCAAUAAUCACAGUUGCAAAGUACCAGGAACAUCAACACCGCUCAGCAGUUUCCAAACAUCAAUCAAUCAAUCCUCAGAUUACAACGUUAUCAUCAGUAUCCAGCGCACGCUCGGCAACCAGCGUGGGCACCGUGUGUUCCCUCGUUACAGGGCCCCGCGAACACGGACAUAGGCCUGGAGAAGAGGCCAGCAGUCGACUCUGGCGUGACCAUCGACCGCCCGCUGCCUGGAUCCUCGAAUGGACAAACCGACAGGGAGAUUCUCCCCCUCCCACCCUCCGCACCGGGUGACCAAAGAUCAGGAGCGUGGAGCCGAAACCUGAGGAGCAGCCCCUUCAGAUACUCAUCCAGGGGCUGCAACUUCCCGUACUCCAUAUACACGUGGAACACUGGUCUCUUCCUGCAGAAGGAGCGCUGCACUGCCGGACACACAUGGGAGCCGGAUUAUGCCACUCGGCCCCUCCAGUCUAUCCCGCCCUUCAGUCCGAUCACAAUGUUUGGGGGUUGGCACGGUGGUGCAGCGGGUAGAGCUGCUGCCUCACAGCGCCAGAGACCCGGGUUCCAUCCUGACUACGGGUGCUGCCUGUACGGAGUUUGCACGUUCUGCGUGGGUUUUCUCCAGUUUCCUCCCGCACUACAAAGACGUGCAGGAUUUAAUAUAAAAGUAAAUUGUCCCCAGUGUGUGUGUGAGAUAGAGCCAGUGUACGGAGCCAGUCGCAGAUUCAGCCUGUUGUGAUCCUUGUCCAGCAUGGGCACAAAGGGCAGAGUGGCCGCCAUCUAUAAUUAAAUGAGGAUUCAAGCCCUGGUUUCACAGCUAAGGGGAGAUGAGAAAUGGGGGUUCCCUUGCAGGGAGCUAGCAUGGAGCCUGAGGGCCGAAUGGCCUCCCGCUGAGUUUCCAAUGAAGAGGUGUAUGGGAGGAAGUUAGGAGAUCCCACUGCUUGAGAUCCUGGGAGGAGAUGACACUUGGGAGAUAGAUGGUGCAGUGGAGACUGAACACGCUGCAAACAAGGACAAAGCAAUACGUCAGGAGAUUUAUCUUAAUCGUGAAGAUAUCUGGGCUGUAGGAGUAUUUAUUCCGGCCACACACGGAGCCUCGAGCGUGCUGCCAGACCAGUCAACAUCUCUAAUUCCACCGUCCCAGACUGACAUGGGAUAGCAGGAGCAGCCGGGCGGAAAGGCGGCCCUGCCCUAGGAGAGGGGAGCAGCGUGGCUGGUGCUUAAAACAAGCAGAUGGUAGAACUGAAGCUAGACACAGAGUGCUGGAGUAACUCAGCAGGAAUGGCAGCAUCUCUGGGUGAUGUUUCAGACUCAGUCUGAAGAAGGGUCUCGACUUGAAACGUCACCCAUUCCUUCUCUCCAGAGAUGCUGCCUGACCCGCUGAGUUACUCCAGCACUCUGUGAAACGUCACCUAUCCAUGUUCCCCACAGAUGCUG
Molecule: long non-coding RNA, 2082 nt
Organism: Leucoraja erinaceus (little skate)
Lineage: Eukaryota; Metazoa; Chordata; Chondrichthyes; Rajiformes; Rajidae
Exons: 3
Source: RefSeq, a predicted model, not a curated record